RNAcentral lists this ribosomal RNA (690 nucleotides) under Streptomyces olivaceus. Its description in RNAcentral is "bacterial SSU rRNA". It matches the Rfam family "Bacterial small subunit ribosomal RNA", at positions 129 to 831 of the family's 1533-position model. Lineage: Bacteria; Bacillati; Actinomycetota; Actinomycetes; Kitasatosporales; Streptomycetaceae. The record is from RNAcentral.
CCCUGCACUCUGGGACAAGCCCUGGAAACGGGGUCUAAUACCGGAUAUUGACCUUCACGGGCAUCUGUGAGGUUCGAAAGCUCCGGCGGUGCAGGAUGAGCCCGCGGCCUAUCAGCUUGUUGGUGAGGUAAUGGCUCACCAAGGCGACGACGGGUAGCCGGCCUGAGAGGGCGACCGGCCACACUGGGACUGAGACACGGCCCAGACUCCUACGGGAGGCAGCAGUGGGGAAUAUUGCACAAUGGGCGAAAGCCUGAUGCAGCGACGCCGCGUGAGGGAUGACGGCCUUCGGGUUGUAAACCUCUUUCAGCAGGGAAGAAGCGAAAGUGACGGUACCUGCAGAAGAAGCGCCGGCUAACUACGUGCCAGCAGCCGCGGUAAUACGUAGGGCGCAAGCGUUGUCCGGAAUUAUUGGGCGUAAAGAGCUCGUAGGCGGCUUGUCACGUCGGUUGUGAAAGCCCGGGGCUUAACCCCGGGUCUGCAGUCGAUACGGGCAGGCUAGAGUUCGGUAGGGGAGAUCGGAAUUCCUGGUGUAGCGGUGAAAUGCGCAGAUAUCAGGAGGAACACCGGUGGCGAAGGCGGAUCUCUGGGCCGAUACUGACGCUGAGGAGCGAAAGCGUGGGGGAGCGAACAGGAUUAGAUACCCUGGUAGUCCACGCCGUAAACGGUGGGCACUAGGUGUGGGCAACA